RNAcentral lists this ribosomal RNA (667 nucleotides) under uncultured marine eukaryote. RNAcentral's name for it is "SSU rRNA". It matches the Rfam family "Eukaryotic small subunit ribosomal RNA", at positions 612 to 1280 of the family's 1831-position model. The record is from RNAcentral.
GUUGUGGUUAAAAAGCUCGUAGUUGGAUCUCAACAGCCUUGAAGCGGUUAACUUUGUAGUUUUACUGCUUUAUAGGCUGUGCUUUUGCUGGAGGUUUAGGGGUGCUCUUGAUCGAGUGUCUCUGGAUGCCAGCAGGUUUACUUUGAAAAAAUUAGAGUGCUCAAAGCAGGCUAAAAUGCCUGAAUAUUCGUGCAUGGAAUAAUAGAAUAGGAUGUCGAUCCUAUUUUGUUGGUUUUCGGGACUCGACAUAAUGAUAAAUAGGGACAGUCGGGGGCAUUUGUAUUCAAACGACAGAGGUGAAAUUCUUGGACCGUUUGAAGACAAACUACUGCGAAAGCAUUUGCCAAGAAUGUUUUCAUUAAUCAAGAACGAAAGUUAGAGGUUCGAAGGCGAUUAGAUACCGCCCUAGUUCUAACCAUAAACGAUGCCAGCUAGCGAUCUGCCUGCGUUUUUACUGUAGACUGGGCAGGAAGCUUCCGGGAAACCAAAGCAUUUGGGUUCCAGGGGAAGUAUGGUUGCAAAGCUGAAACUUAAAGGAAUUGACGGAAGGGCACCACCAGGAGUGGAGCCUGUGGCUUAAUUUGACUCAACACUGGAAAUCUCACCAGGCCCGGACACUGGAAGGAUUGACAGAUUGAUAGCUCUUUCUUGAUUCGGUGGGUGGUGG